UAACGGAGGAGCACGAAGGUGGGCUAAUCACGGUUGGACAUCGUGAGGUUAGUGCAAUGGCAUAAGCCCGCUUGACUGCGAGAAUGACAAUUCGAGCAGGUGCGAAAGCAGGUCAUAGUGAUCCGGUGGUUCUGAAUGGAAGGGCCAUCGCUCAACGGAUAAAAGGUACUCCGGGGAUAACAGGCUGAUACCGCCCAAGAGUUCAUAUCGACGGCGGUGUUUGGCACCUCGAUGUCGGCUCAUCACAUCCUGGGGCUGAAGUCGGUCCCAAGGGUAUGGCUGUUCGCCAUUUAAAGUGGUACGCGAGCUGGGUUUAGAACGUCGUGAGACAGUUCGGUCCCUAUCUGC
Molecule: ribosomal RNA, 348 nt
Filed under: Vibrio parahaemolyticus
Lineage: Bacteria; Pseudomonadati; Pseudomonadota; Gammaproteobacteria; Vibrionales; Vibrionaceae
Description: partial 23S ribosomal RNA
Rfam family: Bacterial large subunit ribosomal RNA
Source: RNAcentral